GCCGCUGUGGCGAAAUGGCAGACGCACCUGACUCAAAAUCAGGCGUAGAAAUACAUGCCGGUUCGAGUCCGGCCAGCGGUA
This is a transfer RNA of 81 nucleotides. It matches the Rfam family "tRNA". Rfam says of the family: Transfer RNA (tRNA) molecules are approximately 80 nucleotides in length. Their secondary structure includes four short double-helical elements and three loops (D, anti-codon, and T loops). The record is from Rfam.